RNAcentral lists this ribosomal RNA (1889 nucleotides) under Ambystoma mexicanum (axolotl). RNAcentral describes it as "SSU rRNA". It matches the Rfam family "Eukaryotic small subunit ribosomal RNA". The record is from RNAcentral. Lineage: Eukaryota; Metazoa; Chordata; Amphibia; Caudata; Ambystomatidae.
CUAGGUUACUCCUGCCAGUAGCAUAUGCAUGUCUCAAAGAUUAAGCCAUGCACAUGUAAGUACACACAGCCGGUACAGUGAAAUUGCAAAUGUCUCAUUAAAUCAGUUAUGGUUCCUUUGAUCGCUCUGUUACUUGGAUAAUUAUGGUAAUUCUAGAGCUAAUACAUGCCGAGUGCUGACCUCCCGGGGUGCAAGCAUUUACCAGACCAAGGCCAUUUUGGGUUUGUCCGACCGUUUUGGUGACUCUAGAUAACCGGGGGCUGACUGUAUGUCCCAGUGACAGCAACUGUAUUUUCAGAUGUCUGCCCUAUAAACUUUUGAUGGUACUUUCUGUGCCAAACAUGUUGACCAUAGGUAACAGGGAAUUAGGGUUCAUUUCAGAGGAGGGAGCCUGAGAAACAGCUACCGCAUUCAAGGAAGGGAGCCGGAGUAAUUGUAUUGGUUAUUUAUAACACGCUUAGUACGCAUAAUUUUCUGAGCGCAGACCCGUGGAUCGAACCUUUGUUGCCCUGUGUCGUCUUGCUUCCAAGGUGAGCGCGUUGCCCCUGAGCUAUCCUCCCAGCCCUGCAAAUUACCCACUUCCAACUGUAUGAGGUAGUGACGAAAAAUAACAAUACAGGACUCUUUAGAGUAAUUGGAAUGAGUACACUUUAAAUCGCUUAAUGAGGCUCCAUUGGAGGGCAAGUCUGUUGCCAGCAGCCACGGUAAUUCCCGUUCCAAUAGCGUAUAUUAAAGUUACUUGAGUGAAAAAUCUUGUAGUUGGAUCUUGGGAUUGAGCUGGCGGUCCGCUGCGAGGAAAGCUAGCCUGACCCAGCCCCUACCUCUCUUCAUCUCCUUGAUGCUCUUGAAUGAAUGUCAAGUGGGUACAAAGCGUUUAAUUAGAGUGUUCAAAAUAUACCAUUCACCUGAAUACUUCAGCUAGAAAUAAUGUAUUAGGACUCCAGUUCUAUUUUGUUUGUUUUUGGAACUGUGGCCAUGAUUAAGAGGGGUGGCCGGGGUAAUUCGUAUUGUUCUGCUAGAGUUGGAAUUAUUGGACUGGCGCAAGACGAACCAAAGCAAAAUCAUUUGUCAAGAAUGUUUUCAUUAAUCAAGAAGGAAAUCAGAGGUUCGAAGAUGAUCAGAUAUCUUCUUGUUCUCUGUAUAAACAAAACUGACUAGUAGUCAGGCAGCUUUACUCACAUGAUCUGCCGAGCUGAUUCCGGGAAGCCAAAGUCUUUGAGUUCCGGAGGUAGUUUGGUUGCAAAGCAAAAACUUAUAGAAAUUCGAUGGAAGGGCACCACCAGGAGUGGAGCCUGUGGCUUAAUUUGACUCAGCAGAGGAAACCUCACCUAGCCUGGACACAAAGGAUUGAAAGAUUGAUAGCUCUUUCUGGAUUAUGUGGGUGGUGGUGCAUGGCAGUUCUUAGUUGUUGGAGUAAUUUGUCUGGUUAAUUCUGAGAAUGAAUGAGAUUGCUCCAUGCUUACUGGUUACGUGACCCCAACCGGUUGGCUUUCAGCACAUGAGAUUCAGCAAUAACAUAUAUGUGAUGUCCUUAGAUAUCCAGGGCUGCACACUCACUGCCCUGAACAGAUCAGCAUGUGUCUACACUUUGCUGACAGAAGGUGGUUAACUACUGAACCCUGCUUGUGAUAGGAGUUGGGCUUUGCAAUUAUUUCCCAUGAAUGAGGAAUUCACAGAAAGUGUGGGUCAUAAGGUUGCACUGAUUAUGUCCCUGCUAUUUGUACACACCACUCCUUUCUACUACCUAUUGGAUGGUUUAGUGAGGUCCUCGGAUCGGCCCUGCCAGGGUCAGCAACAGCCCUGGUUGGUCGGCAAGAAGUCGAUCAAACUUGACUCUAUAGAGGAAGUAAAAGUCAUAACAAGGUUCCCAUAAGGUGAACCUGCAGAAG